RNAcentral lists this long non-coding RNA (1723 nucleotides) under Limulus polyphemus (Atlantic horseshoe crab). RNAcentral's name for it is "uncharacterized LOC111087080, transcript variant X2". Lineage: Eukaryota; Metazoa; Arthropoda; Merostomata; Xiphosura; Limulidae. The record is from RNAcentral.
UUCCCACAUUUUCAGUUUAUUGUUAGAGGAGUUUUUCAUUUUAUUUAUUUUUAUAUUAUUUAUAAAUUGACGGGCCAAGGAACUUCACUCAAACUCGAAGAGUUUUUCAGCCGGUGUCUCAAUUUUGUUAAGCCUAUAAUGGAUAUAUGCACGGACAUUCACUUAACUUACAAUCAUUAAAGUUUAAGAACAUACUUUGUAUUUUCAUUUAAAACAUUAAUAAUAGCCUUAAAAUGUCUAGGUUACUAUGGAACUUUGAAUUAUGUGCUCAGUAUAUUUCAUGUAAGUGGGUGAUUGGAAGAAUUGAGUUUUUAUCCAAAAGUAGUUGCUCUUAUUAACCAACAAAGAGCACAAUCUUGGAGCUCCACUAAAGAUAGUGUUAAGAACUAUCGAAUUGGUAUAUUGUACAGUAAGUAAUAUACUUUGCUACAAUUCUUGGUGGUUUUCUGGCCAGGAUUUGUUUGUUCUGUCUGUGGCAAGCAGUUAUGGUCCAAGUGGAGCUUCAAUAGGCAUAUGAGUGGCCACACUGGCACCCGUCAACUGGAAUAUUGCCAUUUGUGUGGGAAGAACUUUACUUGGAGAGAUAGUCUGUUACGUCACCAGAGGCUGAAACACAGAAUAUUUUCUCAUCGGUCACCAAAUAAUCCUUUUCGGAGGAAAAAAUAUAAAUGAUCAAGGAAAUUGGUGUUAAAUUGUGAUGUGCUGUGUCUGGCACAACUAGUUAACCUUCUGAUUACCAUUGCUUUUAAUGGGAGAAAUAAAAUUCUUGGAAAUUACAUGUGCCACUGCUAGCUCUAAUAGUAAAAGUAAGAAUUAUAAUUGAGGAUUACAUAAACAGAAAGAAGUUAUUAUUUUAUAAUUAGUAUGUUUUGAAUUCAAUGAUGUUGUGAACUAAUUUUCUUAAAAAAGGUCAGUUUCUUACAAAUUCUGCCUUCAAGUUUUCCUAGUUAACACAAUUAAUGUAAUAAAAAAUUGUUUGAUUGUAAUGUGUGCUAGAAUCAUAAUGUUAAAUUCUUUUAGAGGGUGUUAGAUUGUUUUGUUUUUGAGGUAGGGUUCUAUUAUUAAUAUAAAUUUCAACUUGAAAAAUGUAAAAUGUUUACUUGAAUAUAAAAAUACAAAUUUAUAGACUAAAUUCUAGAAUUAAAAAAAAAUAUAUUUUUUAGAGGUAGAGAGAGGCGAAGGUUAUGGGAUAUAUUUUAAAUCAUUUUACUUUUUAUCAAUCUUUUAAGUUUACUAACAAAAACCAUAAUAUACAGUUAAGGACAGAAAGUACUCAUCUGUAAAUACUUUAGUAGUAAUUUUAAACCUUCAUUCCAAACUUAAGAUUUUGUGUAUUUAGAAGUUAUUUAUAAGUGGCAUAUUUCAACUAUUAGCAUGUUUAGAAUGAGAUCUAAUUACUUGUUUCACUGAUUAAAACAGAAUUACUAAUAUAAGAAGGCAUAAUUAUUCACAAACUUUUACAUGUCGUUCAAGUCUUAUUAAAAGAAUCAAUAAAUUUGAUAUUGUUUGUUAAAAUUCAACUAUACAAUUAUAAUUAAUGAACUGUUUUUUAUUUUGCAUAAUUAUUUAAUCUUUUGCCACAAAAAUUUGAUCUUAUAGAAUAUUCACAUUCCUUGUCUAGUUUUAAAGUGAUAAAACAAUUCUUUAAUGUAAAAUUAAGUGAUGUUUUAAAAGUGCAUUUUGUAUAUUGAGCAUAAAGACCAAUAAAGUUCUGUAGGGUGAC